GCUUUUAUCAAACCAAAAUACGAUAUAUAUAUCCUUAUGAGUGAUUUUAUUAUACUUUUGUGUUUCUAUGGACACUGAAAGCUUAGACGAGCAUCUCAUUUGAAGUGGGUGCAAGAGCUUCUUCGGUCAUAGUUCCUUUGUCUGACAUGUGCUUGUCUUGUCCUGAAACGAAAGGUGCACAAUGGGAACAGCUUGGUGGUUGUUGGUAUAUAGGUGGGCGGUAGUAUGGUACGCUUGGGGUGCAACCACCGGUUUGGCUUCCCCCAGAACCAUAACCAGGAUUAACCCUGACCACUGGAAUCAUAAAACCGGGAAUCUGUGCGCCUGGAACCGUUAUGGGAGGGAUUGAUAUGCUUGGGACAACUACACUUGGUACACUACCACUAGAGUCACCUCCUACGCCGAUACCAAUCCCUUCGCCUGAGCCACUACCUUCUCCAUAGCCACUUCCAUAGCCACCUUCUUCUCCAUAGCCACCGCUUUCUCCAUAGCCACCGCCUUCUCCAUAGCCACCGCCAUUUCCAAAGCCCCUACCUUCACCAUACCCCAUAGGCUUAACUGUUUGGUCAGGAUCUUCUGGUUCACUCGCCAGGGACUGCACUUUAUGAUCAGGCUUUUCUUUGUGAUCGAGCAUAGUUUUAGGAUCAGGUUCUUCUAGCUCACCCCACAUGGUUUGCAGUUCAUGAUCAGGCAUGACCUUGUCCUCAGGCUCUUCUGGUUCACCCGGCAUGGACUGCAGCUUAUGAUCAGGCAUGACCUUGUCCUCAGGCUCUUCUGGUUCCCCGGGCAUGGAUUGCAGUUUAUGAUCAGGCAUGAUCUUGUCCUCAGGCUCCUCUGGUUCACCCGGCAUGGACUGGAGUUUAUCAUCAGGCACGACCUUGUCCUCAGGCUCUUCUGGUUCACCCGGCAUGGACUGCAGCUUAUGGUCAG
Molecule: long non-coding RNA, 930 nt
Filed under: Brassica napus (rape)
Lineage: Eukaryota; Viridiplantae; Streptophyta; Magnoliopsida; Brassicales; Brassicaceae
Description: long non-coding RNA (BNAP_LNC004649)
Source: RNAcentral